UGAUGUGAAAGCCGGGCUCAACGCGGGACUGCAUCGGAUACUGUGGAUCUGGAGUGCCGGAGGGGCAAGCGGAUUCCUGGUGUAGCGGUGAAAUGCGUAGAUAUCAGGAGGAACACCGGCGGCGAAGGCGGCUGCUGGACGGCAACUGACGUUGAGGCUCGAAAGCGUGGGGAGCAAACAGGAUUAGAUACCUGGUAGUCCACGCUGUAAACGAUGAAUACUAGGUGUGGGCAUGCAAGGCAUGUCCGUGCCCAGCUAACGCAUUAAGUAUUCCACCUGGGGAGUACGUUCGCAAGAAUGAAACUCAAAGGAUUGACGGGGACCCGCACAAGCGGUGGAGCAUGUGGUUUAAUUCGAAGCAACGCGAAGAACUUACCAGGCCUUGACAUCCCGACGAAAUCCCCUUAACCGGGGCCCCUCUUCGGAGCGUCGAGACAGGUGGUGCAUGGUUGUCGUCAGCUCGUGUCGUGAGAUGUUGGGUUAAGUCCCGCACGAGCGCAACCCCUGCCUGUAGUAGCCAGCAUGUUAAGAUGGGGACUCUACAGGGACUGCGGGGUCAACCCGGAGGAAGGUGGGGAUGACGUCAAAUCAUCAUGCCCCUUACGGCCUGGGGACACACGUGCUACAAUGGCACAACAAAGAGACGCGAUCCCGCGAGGGGGAGCAAACCUCAAAAUAGUGUCCCAGUUCGGACUGCAGUCUGCAACCCGACUGCACGAAGCCGGAAUCGCUGUAAUCGCGGAUCAGAAUGCCGCGGUGAAUACGUUCCCGGGUCUUGCACACACCGCCCGU
RNAcentral lists this ribosomal RNA (792 nucleotides) under uncultured bacterium. RNAcentral describes it as "bacterial SSU rRNA". It matches the Rfam family "Bacterial small subunit ribosomal RNA", at positions 590 to 1397 of the family's 1533-position model. The record is from RNAcentral.